Molecule: non-coding RNA, 611 nt
Organism: Sus scrofa (pig)
Lineage: Eukaryota; Metazoa; Chordata; Mammalia; Artiodactyla; Suidae
Source: RefSeq, a predicted model, not a curated record
CCCGCACCAGGCCCCAGGCCUGCACCCCAAGGGCCACUCCUGGAUCCAGGAAACACCUCUUUUUACAGCGGGGACAGGGCAACCAGAGAGGCCGUGAACCCCGCCCACGGGCACCCACCAAACUACCGGGGAGGGACAGGACGAAGUGAGCCACAUGAGGAGCUUUGAUUCCAAUUCCAGCGCCGCUGGUUGGUCGCUAGCAGUUAAAACCUCCGAUGUCUUCGCAUCAGCUUUGCAGCUGUGGCUUGAGAAGCUGUGGAGUGUGUUUGGCUCGCUCAGAGCAUGAGGCCUGAUGAAGGGGUGUGUCCAGCUUGCAAAGAUGUCUCUGGGCCUGGAUGGGAACCCCUUGUUCUGGCACAGUGGGUGAACAAGGCCUCUCCUCCCGUCCCCACCUUUCCUGAUGCUGGCAACACCUUUCGGUGGCUGAUGAAGCUGGAGGAAGUCCUCGGAUGUGUGGAGAUCCAUCAAAGGCAGCCAGCCCGUGUCUCCGGGUAGGGUGGCCGUGCAUGCUAGUCCCGCUAUUGGGGGAGCUGACUUUUCUCUGGGCAGCUGGUGGGUUUUACUUCUGUCACUUCCGGACUCUGAUUUUGUCCUUAAUAUGAAAAGUUUCC